GUGCAUCGUGGGUAACAUCGCCCAUGAGAUUCUCCACGCUCUGGGCUUCCAACACGAGCACACGAGGAUGGACCGAGAGGAACACAUCACCGUCAUGUCGCACAACAUCAUGUCAGGGAUGGAGAAGAACUUCCAGAAGAAAUCUGGAGAGACGUUUGGACUUCCUAUGACAUCACCUCCAUCAUGCACUACGGCAGUGCCUUUUUCUCGGCCAACCAUCUGCCCACCAUCGUGUCAAAAGGUGAGGAGACGAAGAUGAGGAUGGGACAGAGAGACAGACUGACGGAGAGAGACAUCGAGAGAGUCGCACGGCUGUACGGCUGCGACGUCACAAAAAGCAAAUGAUGAGCGGUGAGGGAGGUAAAGAGGAGGACUUGAACAUCAACACAUGCCCUUUGUUCAUCUGCAGCCCUGCAGCAGCCCACCACCGCCACAGGAGGGCGCCACAGCACCAGCUGAGAGACUGAACUGAACCUUUUAUGAAUAAAAACAACAGACCUGCAUGUGA
Labrus bergylta (ballan wrasse) is the source of this 508-nucleotide non-coding RNA. The record is from RefSeq and is a predicted model, not a curated record. Lineage: Eukaryota; Metazoa; Chordata; Actinopteri; Labriformes; Labridae.